UUGUGCCUUCACACCUUUACGCUUUUCAUGAUUGGCUCUGCUACCUUCUGCCUCUGCAAUGAAAUAGUACCAUAGAAAUCCUUGUGCAUCUUACAUACAUUAACAAUUCCAUUUCUUCUCUCUCUGGUCCAGUGAAGGGAUCUCCCUUUCCCACAAAGGCACCACUGUCUCUACAAAGCACUCUGCCCCACCUCCAAACCCCCAACUAACAAAAAAAGAAAAAGAAAGAAGAACGGCAGUCAGGCUGGGUUAACUUGCCAAAUCCCAGACUUUCUCUGAUGAGUUAUUUCUCAAAAGAAGAAUCACCAGCAAAACAAAGGGCAUUCUUGAAGAGUCAGAAGUGGACUGUAAUUGAAGAGUUCAUUACCAAGAUCAGUUGGCUCCUUGAUUACAGUGGCAAGGUGAAAUAUAUAUCCUCACCAAAAAGCAACUGCUAAACCUUUAGAGAAGUCACCCACUUUUCACUCUUUUUCAUUAGGACCCCGACAAGCUUGUCAGCAAAAUUAAAGGUAUGUCAUUCACAUCGUGCAUGCAUUGCAAAGGACUAUAAACCUGCCAACCUCUUUGAUGAAAUAAA
RNAcentral lists this long non-coding RNA (577 nucleotides) under Dromaius novaehollandiae (emu). RNAcentral's name for it is "lncRNA (ENSDNVG00000017426.1)". Lineage: Eukaryota; Metazoa; Chordata; Aves; Casuariiformes; Dromaiidae. The record is from RNAcentral.